This 369-nucleotide unclassified non-coding RNA is filed under the name soil metagenome. RNAcentral describes it as "partial contains 5.8S ribosomal RNA, internal transcribed spacer 2, and large subunit ribosomal RNA". The stretch from base 1 to 120 matches the Rfam family "5.8S ribosomal RNA", at positions 35 to 154 of the family's 154-position model. The record is from RNAcentral.
GAUGAAGAACGCAGCGAAAUGCGAUAAGUAAUGUGAAUUGCAGAAUUCAGUGAAUCAUCGAAUCUUUGAACGCACAUUGCGCCUGCCAGUAUUCUGGCGGGCAUGCCUGUUCGAGCGUCAUUUCAACCCUCAAGCCCUGCUUGGUGUUGGGGAUCGGCGUUGCCUCCUCCGUCGUUCGCGGCGGGGUGAGGUCGCCGCCCCCGAAAUGAAUUGGCGGUCUCGUCGCAGCUUUCCUUUGCGUAGUAACAUACCACCUCGCAACCUGGAGCGCGGCGCGACCACUGCCGUAAAACGCCCAACUUUUUCAAGAGUUGACCUCGAAUCAGGUAGGAAUACCCGCUGAACUUAAGCAUAUCAAUAAGCGGAGGA